UGGUACCUCUAGUAACAAACUCUUCAACCAGAAAAAUCAUGCAUCCGUGAUGUAUUUGCUCCGGCCUGUUGGGCAUCUGAGGCAAUUACUCUCCUGUGAUCAGUGGCCAGUUCUAACUAACAGUUGUCUUGUGGAUCACUAUGUAUAUAUUGAGAACAGUAACAUCAGCAUUAGCAAUUAGCCUGAGGACCGCGAUGUGUUCAUAGUGCUGCUCCACCCAGGUUGCACGGCAAAGCUUAAUUCAAUGGGAGGUUCCCAUUAGACUUUCUUUGGUGGUAUGCUCCUAAGUUGGAGGAUGUUGAAGAAUAUUUACAAUACUAUGUUAAAUCUCUGACAGUUUUUCCUCAGAGUUUAGUUUACAAGUGGGGAAAAAAUGCAUGUCUUCUUAGUGUUUCAGUCAUCUUUCCUGAUAUCCAGCACUGAAGAACAGUAGUUCUAAGGAAUAGCUGACAGCUGAUAUCUGACAUAUACGAAAUGAAGGAAAUCUUCACAUAUAGGAUAUGUACAUGGUACUACCAAGUCAUGUCCUCUCUCAUGCCUGUUACUGCACCAUAACAUAUACCCCCUUUCUAUUAUUAUUUAAUUUUGAAUAAAUGUAAAAUAAUUUAAUGGAAGAGGAAAGCA
RNAcentral lists this long non-coding RNA (624 nucleotides) under Phasianus colchicus (ring-necked pheasant). RNAcentral's name for it is "lncRNA (ENSPCLG00000003519.1)". The record is from RNAcentral. Lineage: Eukaryota; Metazoa; Chordata; Aves; Galliformes; Phasianidae.